Molecule: transfer RNA, 62 nt
Filed under: Varanus exanthematicus
Lineage: Eukaryota; Metazoa; Chordata; Lepidosauria; Squamata; Varanidae
Description: tRNA-Ser
Source: RNAcentral
AAGAAGACCCAAACCAGAGCUGCUAACUCAGGGAUUCUAAGACUAACUUCUUAGACUUCUUA